This 427-nucleotide ribosomal RNA is filed under the name uncultured bacterium. RNAcentral's name for it is "partial 16S ribosomal RNA". It matches the Rfam family "Bacterial small subunit ribosomal RNA", at positions 354 to 796 of the family's 1533-position model. The record is from RNAcentral.
GUGGGGAAUAUUGGGCAAUGGGCGAAAGCCUGACCCAGCAACGCCGCGUGAGGGAAGAAGGUUUUCGGAUCGUAAACCUCUGUCCUUAGUGAAGAGAAAGAGACGGUAGCUAAGGAGGAAGCCCCGGCUAACUACGUGCCAGCAGCCGCGGUAAUACGUAGGGGGCGAGCGUUGUCCGGAAUGAUUGGGCGUAAAGGGCGCGUAGGCGGCCUGUUAAGUCCGGAGUGAAAUUCCUGCUUUCAAGGUAGGAAGUGCUUUGGAAACUGGCGGGCUGGAGUGCAGGAGAGGUUAGCGGAAUUCCCGGUGUAGCGGUGAAAUGCGUAGAGAUCGGGAGGAACACCAGUGGCGAAGGCGGCUAACUGGACUGUAACUGACGCUGAGGCGCGAAAGUGUGGGGAGCAAACAGGAUUAGAUACCCUAGUAGUCC